RNAcentral lists this ribosomal RNA (271 nucleotides) under uncultured bacterium. Its description in RNAcentral is "partial 16S ribosomal RNA". It matches the Rfam family "Bacterial small subunit ribosomal RNA", at positions 28 to 304 of the family's 1533-position model. The record is from RNAcentral.
GAUGAACGCUAGCGGCAGGCCUAAUACAUGCAAGUCGAACGGUCAGUAGCAAUACUGAUAGUGGCGCACGGGUGCGUAACACGUAACUAACCUACCUAUAACUGGGGGAUAGCCCGCCGAAAGGCGGAUUAAUACCGCAUAAGCUCUUUGGCUGGCAUCAGCUGAUUAGUAAAGAUUUAUUGGUUAUAGAUGGGGGUUGCGGGUCAUUAGCUAGUUGGUUGGGUAAACGGCNGACCAAGGCGACGAUGACUAGGGGAGCUGAGAGGCUGGU